AUUGAACGCUGGCGGCAGGCCUAACACAUGCAAGUCGAACGGUAACAGGAAGAAGCUUGCUUCUUUGCUGACGAGUGGCGGACGGGUGAGUAAUGUCUGGGAAACUGCCUGAUGGAGGGGGAUAACUACUGGAAACGGUAGCUAAUACCGCAUAACGUCGCAAGACCAAAGAGGGGGACCUUCGGGCCUCUUGCCAUCGGAUGUGCCCAGAUGGGAUUAGCUAGUAGGUGGGGUAACGGCUCACCUAGGCGACGAUCCCUAGCUGGUCUUAGAGGAUGACCAGCCACACUGGAACUGAGACACGGUCCAGACUCCUACGGGAGGCAGCAGUGGGGAAUAUUGCACAAUGGGCGCAAGCCUGAUGCAGCCAUGCCGCGUGUAUGAAGAAGGCCUUCGGGUUGUAAAGUACUUUCAGCGGGGAGGAAGGGAGUAAAGUUAAUACCUUUGCUCAUUGACGUUACCCGCAGAAGAAGCACCGGCUAACUCCGUG
RNAcentral lists this ribosomal RNA (490 nucleotides) under uncultured bacterium. RNAcentral describes it as "partial 16S ribosomal RNA". It matches the Rfam family "Bacterial small subunit ribosomal RNA", at positions 30 to 507 of the family's 1533-position model. The record is from RNAcentral.